This 224-nucleotide long non-coding RNA is filed under the name Zostera marina. RNAcentral's name for it is "long non-coding RNA (ZMAR_LNC004482)". Lineage: Eukaryota; Viridiplantae; Streptophyta; Magnoliopsida; Alismatales; Zosteraceae. The record is from RNAcentral.
UUCAGGAUGCUGCUCUACCCACGCCAUGAUAUCCGUGAUGUAGUCCGGAGGUAGAGCAGAAAACACUGUCGGGCCGAAGAAGAUAAGCUCUUGAAGCUGGUCGGAUUGGUAGCGCACAUCCAAAUCCAAUCCUACAGCCUUUCCAGCAAGUGCGGCAUUGUCACCUUUAAGAGCUAGAACCUCUUCUUCCGCACUCGCGAGCUCGCUUUUCAGCUCAGUGGUUU